Molecule: ribosomal RNA, 301 nt
Filed under: uncultured bacterium
Lineage: Bacteria
Description: partial 16S ribosomal RNA
Rfam family: Bacterial small subunit ribosomal RNA
Source: RNAcentral
CAGUCGCCGCGGGAAAACGUAGGUGGCAAGCGUUGUCCGGAAUUAUUGGGCGUAAAGGGCUCGCAGGCGGUUUCUUAAGUCUGAUGUGAAAGCCCCCGGCUCAACCGGGGAGGGUCAUUGGAAACUGGGAAACUUGAGUGCAGAAGAGGAGAGUGGAAUUCCACGUGUAGCGGCGAAAUGCGUAGAGAUGUGGAGGAACACCAGUGGCGAAGGCGACUCUCUGGUCUGUAACUGACGCUGAGGAGCGAGAGCGUGGGGAGCGAACAGGAUUAGAUACCCCCGUAGUCCCUGUCUCUUAUAC